UACGAAGGGUGCAAGCGUUGUUCGGAAUCACUGGGCGUAAAGAAUGCGUAGGCGGCUUAACAAGUCGGAAGUGAAAUCCCAGGGCUCAACCCUGGAACUGCUUUCGAAACUGUUUUGCUAGAGUCCCGGAGGGGUUAGCGGAAUUCCGAGUGUAGAGGUGAAAUUCGCAGAUAUUCGGAGGAACACCAGUGGCGAAGGCGGCUAACUGGACGGGAACUGACGCUGAGGCAUGAAAGUGUGGGGAUCAAACAGG
This 253-nucleotide ribosomal RNA is filed under the name uncultured bacterium. RNAcentral describes it as "partial 16S ribosomal RNA". It matches the Rfam family "Bacterial small subunit ribosomal RNA", at positions 524 to 776 of the family's 1533-position model. The record is from RNAcentral.